UACGAAGGGGGCUAGCGUUGCUCGGAAUCACUGGGCGUAAAGGGCGCGUAGGCGGCGUGGUAAGUCACUUGUGAAAUCUCUGAGCUUAACUCAGAACGGCCAAGUGAUACUGCUGUGCUAGAGUGCAGAAGGGGCAAUCGGAAUUCUUGGUGUAGCGGUGAAAUGCGUAGAUAUCAAGAGGAACACCUGAGGUGAAGACGGGUUGCUGGGCUGACACUGACGCUGAGGCGCGAAAGCCAGGGGAGCAAACGGG
RNAcentral lists this ribosomal RNA (253 nucleotides) under uncultured bacterium. RNAcentral describes it as "partial 16S ribosomal RNA". It matches the Rfam family "Bacterial small subunit ribosomal RNA", at positions 524 to 776 of the family's 1533-position model. The record is from RNAcentral.